CAGGAAUAACGGUCCUUCCGACAACUCUUUGCAAGGCUUUUUACAAUUUCUCCAGGAGCUGCAUCUCCCUUCACCUUUUCUCCUCCACUUCGCGGCUUCUUCAUGCUUUUGCUUCUCACCAUUUCUGGCCAAAACUACAACCAAGACUUCGCAGAGUCUGCGUGCUGCUGAAUCAGGGAGUCGAGUCCAUGCGAACUGCCAUCUGAUCCACUCUUAUCAAUGAAGCAGCAGAUCAUGGCGGAUGGCCCCAGGUGUAAGAGGCGAAAACAAGCCAACCCCCGGAGGAAAAACGCGCGUAUCCAGUGCCUUUCCCGUUGGGAAUUGGCCAGGAUUUAUCUGGACUGAGUGGAUUUUUGCUUCUUCCCUGGAUUCGUGGAAAAGAUGUCACUUCUGAGCUUGUGUCUUUGCUGAUAACACCAGAAACGGUGAUGCUUAUCGAAAUCAGACAGGAAUUCCUUAGAAACGCGGCAGGACCAAACUAAAAAUUAAAAACACAUAAAAAAUAAAUAAAUAAACCACCAAAACUAGAUGGCCAUCGAGGAA
Molecule: long non-coding RNA, 543 nt
Organism: Oxyura jamaicensis (ruddy duck)
Lineage: Eukaryota; Metazoa; Chordata; Aves; Anseriformes; Anatidae
Exons: 3
Source: RefSeq, a predicted model, not a curated record